UACAGAGGGUGCGAGCGUUGUCCGGAAUCACUGGGCGUAAAGGGCGCGUAGGCGGCUCGAUAAGGUUGCGGUGAAAGCCCGGGGCUCAACCCCGGGUCGGCCGUGGCAACUGUCGAGCUCGAGCACUGUAGAGGCAGGUGGAAUUCCGGGUGUAGCGGUGGAAUGCGUAGAGAUCCGGAAGAACACCGGUGGCGAAGGCGGCCUGCUGGGCAGUGACUCUUGAGUGAGUCGAAAGCUGACGCUGAGGCGCGACAGCGUGGGGAGCAAACAGG
This 272-nucleotide ribosomal RNA is filed under the name uncultured bacterium. RNAcentral describes it as "partial 16S ribosomal RNA". It matches the Rfam family "Bacterial small subunit ribosomal RNA", at positions 524 to 776 of the family's 1533-position model. The record is from RNAcentral.